GGAGAGGUGGCAGAGUGGUCGAUUGCGCGUGACUCGAAAUCACGUUUACGGAAGCGUAACGAGGGUUCGAAUCCCUCCCUCUCCGCCA
This 88-nucleotide transfer RNA is filed under the name Burkholderiales bacterium. RNAcentral's name for it is "tRNA-Ser". It matches the Rfam family "tRNA". Rfam says of the family: Transfer RNA (tRNA) molecules are approximately 80 nucleotides in length. Their secondary structure includes four short double-helical elements and three loops (D, anti-codon, and T loops). Lineage: Bacteria; Pseudomonadati; Pseudomonadota; Betaproteobacteria; Burkholderiales. The record is from RNAcentral.